UCUAUCAGAAUCCCAGCAUGUAAAUGCUGUGUUGAGCUCAUAAUGUGAAUCUUGUCUGUAUGUUUCAGGGACAGGAGAACACGCGUGUGUUUAUCCAGUGGAGAAGAGGCUCAUGAUGCUGAAUCAUGUCAUCAAAGGAUUUGAAGUGCAGAGCUUUUGUGGUGGACCAGGACCUGCAAGGAAAGAUGGUGGCAGCAUUUGUUGGGGGAAAAAGGAUCUGAAAUGUCUGCAGACUGGUGUGAGCACUGAGGAUGAGGAACCCAGAGCCUGGAAGUGGUCCCAUGAAUGAGACCCUCCAUCUCUCCAUCUGCCCUUAUGAGUCCCUCCAUCUCUCCACCUGCCCUUAUUGCCUCAGAUUGUGAAGCGCUUGCAGUAGGAUGUGGUGUUCAGCGCCUGUAAAUACAUGCUUGUACUUUGAAUAAAGCUUUGUUUCAUGUGUUGUUGACUUGUAUAUGCAUUUGUUUGUCCAAAAAAUACAAAUAAAAGUAACCAUCACAUUUUAAUUAAAGUUUCUUUCAUGAUAAAAACUAGUUUACUGCACUCAGCUGGGGCACCUGAGUCCAUAGCACCAAGCGCCAUCACAUAAUUCCACCGUCCACAAACUCAC
Molecule: long non-coding RNA, 607 nt
Organism: Pimephales promelas (fathead minnow)
Lineage: Eukaryota; Metazoa; Chordata; Actinopteri; Cypriniformes; Leuciscidae
Source: RefSeq, a predicted model, not a curated record